Molecule: non-coding RNA, 436 nt
Organism: Triticum urartu
Lineage: Eukaryota; Viridiplantae; Streptophyta; Magnoliopsida; Poales; Poaceae
Source: RefSeq, a predicted model, not a curated record
GGCUGAUUGGAGCCAAUUUUUUACUCUAAAAGCCUAUCUUUUGAUACCACUGUCUAAGAACAAUCAGAUCAUCAUUUCACCAUCUUCGGCCGCCCAAGGAUAUUUCAAACUACUUUUGCUGAUAUCAGGAGAAGGACCAUGACCAGACAAGCAAAAAUAUGCGACUGCCUGGGGCUGGGGCUGGUGCACCUUGGGCUGGGGCUGGUGCUGGAUUAGCAACGCUUGGGAAUGUGCACAUUAGUUUUAGUUGAUGUUGCCACCAUGUUUUGGUGCCUGUGUAUUUGUUUCCGAUUAUAUGUACACUUGAUGGAUCGUGCAGAUGUGUAUGUGCUGUUGUGAGUUUCAUUGAGUGAUUUCUGGAUUUGAUCAUUUAAUUUUGAGAAUUAUUGAUUGUUUGCUGUUGAAAUGUGUAAAAUUGAAAUCUGUGAUUGAAAAA